GCCCGGGUGGUCUAGUGGUAUGAUUCGCGCUUAGGGUAAACCCCAAGCAUAAAUGCGCGAGGUCCCCGGUUCGAUCCCGGGCUCGGGCC
This 89-nucleotide transfer RNA is filed under the name Penicillium oxalicum. Its description in RNAcentral is "tRNA-Pro". Lineage: Eukaryota; Fungi; Ascomycota; Eurotiomycetes; Eurotiales; Aspergillaceae. The record is from RNAcentral.